Molecule: long non-coding RNA, 24707 nt
Filed under: Hordeum vulgare
Lineage: Eukaryota; Viridiplantae; Streptophyta; Magnoliopsida; Poales; Poaceae
Description: long non-coding RNA (HVUL_LNC016748)
Source: RNAcentral
CGAAUUAGUCCUGCGUGAUCCCUUUUUCUGCGCCGUCCUGCGCGGGUUCCCCGCUGGCGGCUGGCCGCACCUUACCACCCCCGUCCGGCCGUCCUCCGCCCAGGUAGACAGGAAGAAGCGAGGAGGGUCGUAUCCGACUGCGGCACAUGGAGAGGUGGACUAGGGGGACGCAUCUCCCGGCGAGCACGGGAAUACUACUAUGAUUCAGACAGGGUGACGGGCCGCCGCCGGCGCCGCCUGAGUACAGAGCCUACAUCGCCCACGGUCGGCGGUCAGUUUCAUGCCCAUCGCCACCGGCGACCUCUCGGGAAACGGGCAGACGGCGAGAGUUUAGGACACCACUAAAACCUGGGCUUCUCCUUAUCCACAUCCGGGCGGUUGGCUCUGCUUCUUCUCCAGUAUGUCGCUGUCCAUUGAUUCCAUUAAUCCAUUCUCCCCUGUUCCGGCUUUUUAUCAUGAAUACGCAGAUUUAGAUUAGGUGAUGUGGUACUUUGAUCGUUUGAUGAUGAGUACUCUAAUUACUGUGAUUGUGCGAUCCUGAUACUGUAUUUUGUUUCCUGUAAGUUUAAUGUUUGAGACUUGGAGCUUUAUAGCUUAUUGUUGAUACUUGUUUGUGACCUGGAUUGCAAAUGUGUGUCUCGUAGCUUGCUGCUGCUGUUGGAGCACUGAACGCUUGGUCUUGGACAUCACAGCCACCCCACCAUUACCUUGGACGCUACUUCAAAUCCUGGCGGCACAAAAUUUUAGUGGAAACAUAAGGUAAAAAAUCUUGCAACCCGGAUGUGACGGUUUUAUUUGUUUAUUUUGUUAUCCCUUGAUUAGUGAACCUGAUACUUUUUCGGAUCAACUGAAAAUAAAUAUAAGAUUCUGUUAUCUAUUGGUUUGAUUCUAUUAUCACCAUAUUAGUUGAUGAGAAUCCUCUUAAACCACGUCUCCUUGUCAAGUGCUGGAACUUAUUUAUCACUCCCACUUCAGAACGGAACCUCGUUGCCAAGUGCCAACUGAUUCAUAGUAAAAUCCCCUCUGACACCCAAUAGAAUAGGUUGCUGUUGUUUUUUUGUUUCACCAAUGAGCUAUUUUAAAACAGGCAAAUAUCAAUGACAAAAUGAAUGCAAAAUAUGCCCUUAGACCGAUGUGGCAUGCAUGUAACAUAAUUAACUGCUCGACAAGAAUUGAGUCAAUUGAACAUCUAUAGACGACAUAGCGCCGUGGGGUCUACUAGGUCACCCAAUUACUGGUUCUUAAUUAUCUGUCCCGCUUGUGUUUCUGUCUAGCUUGUGCAGUUAUGCAUAUCUGUGCUCGAUCAUACAUGUUAUCUCUACCAUAAAGCACCAAGUUCACAUUAUAUUAUAAUUACCAUCCACAUAUGAUUUAGUUUUACUUCUUCUGAUUUGUAAUGAACUUCUACUUGAAUGCUUUACUAAAUCUUAUUUUUCAGGAAAUUUGCAAGCGGGGAUUAGAAGAAUUAUUUUGAACUGAAUGAAGAAUCUAUGCACCUUUUAGCGAACUUUUAUAUGCUUGCAUAGUUUUUGCUCUUCGACAAUGAACCUUGUAAAAUUUCAAAAAAUUCUUACUAAGUUAAUUAAGCUUCAUGUAUGACAGAUUUUCAUUGGGAAUAGAUACACUUUUUUCAAAGAAGUAUCAUGUCAGAUUUACCAUCUUGUAAAAUCAACUGUGAUGGGGCGUUCUCUGCACCUGAGGGCACUGGUGGUGGUGGCUGGGGCUUCGUCAUACACGACUUGCCGGGAGAUGUGAGAGGCUCUGGAGCGGGGCGCCUUCGACAUGUAGCAACACACCCCUUUAUUUUCUGAAACAUUGACGGGUGUGGCAACACACCCCUUUAUGUCCUAGUGUCUACUGUUAGGAAACUUCUUGCAAGUACUUUGGUUAGGUACUAGAAAGCAUGCGCGUGCACACACACACACACACAUGCCCACAGCAACAAGCACGCACAUACAACACAACACAGAUGCUCUGCUCCUGAUUUGUCAAUAGUAUGCUGAUGCUUUGCUUUGAUCUGCUCUAACACUAACUUUUUUGUCAAUAGUAAGGGAAGUCGAAGUUUCUGAUUGGUGAUGCUUUUGCUUCAGGAUACUUAAUUUCCUCGCAUUGACCUUUUGUAAGUUAAAAUCUUUUUUUCCAUAUUCCAAAAUUAUGUUGGUGUACACUUAAUCACAUAAUCGUAAGGUCCAAAUUUCAUUUACAGAUUCAAAAGAAGGAUAAUCGAGUUGCAGCUGAAUUCUCCGGUUGGAUCAAGAAGCAAAUACAAUUAGAAAAUUUUACUUAGAAAUAACCGUAGUUUACAUUGAUAGAUGGAAACAAUGUAAUAUCAUGCAGAAGUUGUUUUUUAUUUGUUUGAAUUGUGCAAAUGCUAUGGUGUAAUAUUCUCCAUAGACAUGUUCACUGUAGUCAAAAUAUAUGAAUGAUAUUUUGCGGUACCAGUAAUAUUGGUAUUUGUUUAUUGUAAUGCAUAUGUAUCCUACAUUGUUGUAUAUUCAUAUUAAAUAUCUUGAUAUUUUCAAUUUGUGUAUGUGUCGUGCUUUAAUUUCUCUAUCAUUUUAAUGGUGUCAAGCAUCAAAAUAAAAUAAUUGACUAAUUGAUCAAUUGUAGCUAUUUUAUUAAAUAAAUGUGUAAAAUGGGUACCUAAUUUUGUGGUUAAUAAUUAAAAAUAAAAUAUAUUAAUUAUGUUGUCAUACUAAUAUAAUAGUGUUACUGAUGGUGUUACCGUAGUAACAAAAUGUGUUACUAGGUCAUUGACAAUUAUAAAUUAUAGUGUUAUGGUCCUUGAUAUUGUGUUACAACUUGUGUUACUAUAGGUACAGAAACAUGUUACCACAAUGUUCUACGUAUAUGGAAAAUAUGUUACUUUGAACGUUACAAUAGUUAUGAAAAUGUGUUACCAGGGUCAUUUGGUAACACAUAAUAUGCAUGUUACUACAACAUAAUAGUAACACAAUUUUCAAUAUAUGGUAACACCUAUAAUAUGUGACAGUUAACACCACUUAGUAACACGGUCUAAUGGAACACAUUUUAAAAUGUGUUACUAUAUGACUUAGUAACACAGUUUUGGGUCUGAAGUAACAUAACACUAUGUUACAAAAGCUCUGUCCUGUUGUAGUGCCACCCCCUCGGUAAACACUUCUUCGCUCCAUCGCUCUCCUCCUACAGCAAAGCCCCGAACCCUAGCGCCACCGCUGGAAGUCUCGACGCCGGCGAAGAAGAGCUUCACUGUCUCGACUUUUCCGUCGCCAAAACCACGCCGGAGUCGGACCAUGCUCGUCCGCCGCCGCCGUAGACAUCCUCUGCUGCCGGGUUAGAGUGCAUUGGACACACACCGAAAGAGCUUCUCCCUGCUACUCUUCUCUGUUCAUCGUGCGCGCCAUCUAGGGUAAAUAAAAACCCUAUUUUUACAGCAAGUUUGAUCUACUAUUUUGCCUCUGUGAUGUGAAAUCUGUUUUUCUUCAAGAAUCCAUCCGUUUCUUUUCCUCAAACACUGCCUAUCACCACACUAUUGGUGAACUUCACUAAGCAUCUAAGAUUUUCAUGAGAUUCCUCGGUUGUGCGAAUUUUCGGAUCUGUACAACUCUGGAACCCAAGAACAGUAUGCUUAGGCAAAUUCCUCAUACACUGGUCAAAUUCCUCAACUGUCAAAUUUUUUCAUUUUCUUCAAAUCUGAGAACGCAUAUGACCUCUCCACAUUCCUCGCUACUAUACUCUGUUCACAGGUACACACAUGUCAGCUGAUGAAUAUCUCGGUUCUCAUCAAAUUAACUCAUUUGCAGCGUUUCUUGAAGAAAAUCUUCAAGUCUCAUCAGAAUCCUCAAGAGUUCAAUGUCAUGAGCAAAAUCCUCAGCUAAAGAAAAUGGAGGAUGACAGGAAGCAAAAGGGAGGCAAGAAACUUGAGCAGAAUACAUCCAUAGAUAUCCCUGAGGAUAUAUACUUGGACUACUGCACUCCUGAUGAAAAUGAAACUAUGGCCAAGAGAAAGAUUCGGCUUCAGAAGAUAGAACGCCGAUGGGCUAAGGAGUGGAAGGAGUACAGAUUCGUCACUCCCAAAUAUGCAAAGAAAUUCACUCUGAAGCCUCCUGGCAAACGGUCUCCACUUGAGGAUUAUCAAGAAGCACAUCCCUCAAGCCUCAAGACCCUUAUCCUGAUGAAAAGGAAAAGCACUUGGCAAAGCUCAAGAAGCAGGCAGAGGCUGCUGUGAGGAAAUUCAACGAAUCAUCUGCAACUCCAUCAACUGCAGCUACUUCCUCUGCUGCUGAGACCUCUCGUUCGGCAAUUCCUCCACAAAAGUCUGUGCCAUCAAAACCAAAGGCUUCAAAGCCUCAAGAGAAACCAUCUCCAGCAUCAGCUCCAAAAUCCUCAGCACCACCACAGGCUUCAAAACCUGAACAGAAGCCAAUAGUCAAGCCACUACCAGCUACCUCCAGCUCCUCGCUCCCAGCUGCAACCAGCUCGGGGACAAAAUCUUCACCAACUCCUCUAAAGACUAAGGUGACUGCUGGGAGAGGAACAAGACCCAGCCCAAGCAAAAUCAUCACGGUCCCUUCUGCAUCAGAGGGUAGUGAUGAAUAUGAUGAUGAAACUUUGCAAGCAAUGAUCAGAAACAAGCAAGAGAGGGUAGCUUAAGCUUCUGGCAGCUCCAUUCCUCUGGCCAUGGACCCAAAAGUCCUCCUUGACUACAUCAAUAUCUGGUAUGCGGAGCCCAAUACUCCACUUGAUGAUUUGGAACUUCCUCCUGGCAUCAGCCACAUGAUGGCUACAUUCAUCAACGAGGCCAAGUGGAAGGAGCAACAAGCUAAACAGGCCAAGGUGGCCAAGCUCAAGAAGGAGAAAUUCCUCAAGCAGAAUCUCCUCAACCUGACUCCUCAUGACCUUGUGUCAACACAGGCGGAGUUGAAGACUUUGACAGAUAAGUACUCCAAGCUUGCAUGCNNNNNNNNNNNNNNNNNNNNNNNNNNNNNNNNNNNNNNNNNNNNNNNNNNNNNNNNNNNNNNNNNNNNNNNNNNNNNNNNNNNNNNNNNNNNNNNNNNNNGGGCGGCGGUGAGGGGUGGGACAGGGCGGCGGCGAGGAGGGGGGCUCGGGGCCGGCCUUUAUAGGGGAGAGGUGGGGCGCCGAGGGGAAGGGGAGCGAGAUCCGGCGGGGAUUCGGGCGAGGGGGUCGGUCGGCUGAGAGAGAAGGAAGGGGAGGGCGAGGGGAAAGGAAAGAGAGGGAGGGAGGAAGGGGGUGACCCGCAGGGGGGCUCGGUCGGCCAGGGGGGGCAUCUGGCAAGGAGAGGGAGAGAGGGGCGCUGGGGUCGGUCACCCGAUCCGAAAGGAUCUCGGAUCCGGCUAAGGUAGGAUUCCGCCGAGGCACUUAAAUGCCGCCCGCGGCAGUUUCCUUUAAAAAAAGUUUCUUAUUUUUAGCCUUUUUAAGAAACAGAAACUAAAACUAAUAAAAAGGCAACGAAAAAUAAUAAUUAAUAUAGGGUAUUAUAUACCAAAAAAAUCAGAAAAAUAUCCUCUACUCGAUUAACAUUUUUCCAAAGCAAAAAUAAAAACUUGAGAAAAAAAUAUUUUCACAAAAUUGCCUAAAAGAUUUAUUUUCUUUUGCAAAUAAUUUUCAAAUGACCCUCUAAGUUUUAGGGUUCAACUAACUUUCAAAAGGCCCGUGUGUUUGAGGGUCAUGUUCCUCCUCUCUUUUCUGUUUGACAGAAUGUAUUUCCCGGCAUGUCUUGCACGAAGAAAACAAAUAGAAGUGCAAAGGAAUUCAAAUGCAAAUAUCUCCGUUCAAAUUCUUUAUAGUUGAAGAAGUCAUGUCAUCUUCUCUCUUUGCUUUUAAAUGAUUGAAUUUGAAUUCACCGGAGAAGGCGAAAGUCAUUUUAUUCCCUCUCAUUCAAAAGUUUUGAAAAGUUUCAAAUUUCACACAAGUUUCAAUCACUCAAGCAAACAAACAAACAAUCUAAUAAUUAUUUUAACAUUCCAAAAUUUGGGAUGUUACAAAAGAGUAAUCAACACUACUAGCAACUUUACAAGUACCAAUCGGAGUUGCGAGACGAAGAUUGGUUAGAAGAGAUGAACUAGGGAUUGGAGAGGAGAUGGUGCUGAUGAAGAUGUUGAUGGAGAUGCCUCCCCUCCGACGAGAGGAGUGUUGGUGAUGACGAUGGCGACGAUUCCCCCCUCCGGGAGGGAAGUUUCCCCGGCAGGAUCGUCCCGCCGGAGCUCCAGAUUGGAUCUGCUCAAGUUCCGCCUCGUGGCGGCGGCGAAACCACGAAAAAGCUCCCGAUUGAUUUAUUCCAGACGAGGACACUUCAUAUAGCAAAAGAGGGGGCUAGUGGGCCUUCAGGCAGCCCACAAGCCUGCCCUGCGCCACCAGGGGGUUGUGGCGGNNNNNNNNNNNNNNNNNNNNNNNNNNNNNNNNNNNNNNNNNNNNNNNNNNNNNNNNNNNNNNNNNNNNNNNNNNNNNNNNNNNNNNNNNNNNNNNNNNNNNUGGGGCCCUGGUGGCCCCCCUCCAGUAGUUCUUUCGCUCAGUAUUUUUAAUAUAUUCCAGAAAAAAUCCACGUAAAUUUUUAGGGCAUUUGGAGAUGUGCAGAAUAGUGGACUAGGAUUUGCUCCUUUUCCAGUCCAGAAUUCCAGCUGCCUGAAUUCUCCCUCUUCAAAUAAACCCUGAAAAUAAGAUAGAAAAGUCAUAAAUAUGGUACCACAAGUAAUAUAACAGCCCAAAAAGCAAUAAAUAUCAACAUCAAAGCAUGAUGCAAAAUGGACGUAUCACACAGCUCCAGGAGCGACAUUGCAAUCCAUUCAUACACAUCAAACACUCCGGCAGGACUAGGGGUCUUAUCUCUACGGAGAGCCCUGAACCUGGUUACAUCGUGCGUUCCAUGCUUGUACCAACCUCGUUCCCAGCGCCCUCCUUUGUCCCUUCGGUUCUCACCGACUUUAGCCUACCUAUGGCAUAUGUCGUGAGUAUUCACAAACAGCAUGUCAUUAGGAUCUAAAGGAACACUUCUACUAGCAACCAAAUUCAUUAACUCAUCCAUCUUAACACUCAACGAGUAACUUUCUUCUAUUGCGUGUACCUUCUUACUAGUAGGUGACCUUUCAGUGUGCCAGUGAGAGUAGUUCGUCAUGAUAUUGUCUAGGAGUUUUGUGGCUUCUCCUAACGUGAUUUCCAUGAACGUUCCACCUGAGGCGGAGUCCAAGAUAUUUCUAGAAGCAAAAUUUAAGCCAGCGUAGAAGAUUUGUAUAAUCAUCCAAAGACUCAAGCCAUGCGCGGGACAAUUCAUAAUCAUUAAUUUCAUUCUCUCCCAAGAUUGUGCAACAUGUUCAUGAUCAAGUUGCUUAAAAUUCAUUAUAUCAUUACGGAGAGAGAUAAUCUUAGCCGGCGGAAAAUACUUGGAUAUAUAAGCAUCUUUGCACUUGUUCCAAGAAUCAAUACUAUUUUUGGGCAAAGACGAAAACCAAGUUUUUGUUCGAUCUCGCAACGAGAACGGAGAAAGCUUCAAUUUAAUCACAUCAUUAUCCACAUCUUUCUUCUUUUGCAUAUCGCAAAGCUCAAUGAAGGUAUUAAGAUGGAAUGCGGCAGCUUCACUAGGAAGGCCGGAGAAUUGCUCUUUCAUAACAAGAUUCAGCAAAGCAGCAUUGAUUUCGUAUGAUUCCGCACUAGUGGCGGGAGCAAUCAGAGUACUAAUAAAAUCAUUAUUAUUAGUAUGCGAGAAGUCACGAAGUUUGGUGUUUUCACUCAUGGUGACUUCAGCAAGCAAACAAGCAUAGAAGCGAACAGAAAGCAAGCGAGAGAAAAGGGCGAACGAAAAAGGCAAACGAAAAAAGGCAAAUAUUUUUGUAAAUUUUUGUUUUUCAGAAGUGGGGGAGAGGAAAGCGAGAGGCAAAAGAAGUAAAUGCAAGAGAUGAGUUUGCGACACUUACUUGGAUGAGUUCUUGACUUGAUCCUCCCCGGCAACGGCGCCAGAAAUCCUUUUGUUACGGCACCAGAAAUCCCCGGCAACGGUGCCAGAAAUCCUUCUGCUGCCUCUUGAGCUUGCGUUUGUUUUUCCCUUGAAGAUGAAAGGGUGAUGCAGCACAGGAGCAGCAAGUAUUUCCCUCAGUUUGGGAACCAAGGUAUCAAUCCAGUAGGAGAAUCGCGCCAAGUCCACAGUACCUGCACAAACACAAAAGAGGUUACACCCAACGCUAUAAAGGGGUUGUCAAUCCCUUCAAGAUUGAUUGUAAAGUGAGAUCUAUAGGUGGAAAGUGCAACGAAGUAAAAGAGUAAGAUCUGAAGGCUGGAAAUAUGGUGUGAACUAGACCCGGGGGCCAUAGUGUUCACUAGAGGCUUCUCUCAAAAUAGCAAAUAAUACAGUGGGUGAACAAAUUACUGUCGAGCAAUUGAUAGAACCGCGCAAAGUCAUGACGAUAUCUAAGGCAAUGAUCAUACAUAUAGGCAUCACGUCCGAGACAAGUAGAUCGAUACUUUCUGCAUCUACUACUGUUACUCCACACAUCGACCGCUAUCCAGCAUGCAUCUAGUGUAUUGAGUUCAUAACGAACAGAGUAACGCCUUAAGCAAGAUGACAUGAUGUAGAGGGAUAAAUUCAAACCAAUGAUGAAAACCCCAUCGUUUUACCCUUGAUGGCAACAACACGAUAUGUGCCUCUCUACCCCUUCUGUCACUGGGUGAGGUCACCGCAUGGUAUGAACCCAAAACCAAGCACUUCUCCCAUUGUAAGAAUCAUAGAUCAAGUUGGCCAAACAAAACCCACAACUCGAAGAGAAUUACAAGCAUAUGAAAUCAUGCAUAUAAGAUAUCAGAAGAAGCUCAAAUAAGAUUCAUAGAUAAUCUGAUCACAAAUCCAGAAUUCAUCGGAUCUAGGCAAACACACCGCAAAUAAGAUUACAUCGGAUAGAUCUCCAUGAAGAUCAUGGAGAACUUUGUAUUGAAGAUCCAAGAGAGAGAAGAAGCCAUCUAGAUACUAGCUAUGGACCCGAAGGUCUAUGGUGAACUACUCACGCAUCAUCGGAGAGGUCAUGGUGUUGAUGAAGCCCUCCGUAUCCGAAUCCCCCUCCGACAGGGCACCAGAACGUGCCCCAGAUGGGAUCUUGCGGAAACACAAGCUUGCGGCGGCGGAAAAGUAUUUUCGUGGAUCUCUCUCAUAGUUUUGGAAUUUUUCUGAAUUUAUAGGCGGAAGAGGUAGGGCAGAUGAGCCACAGGGGGCCCACAAGCCUGCUAGGUGCAGACCCCCUUGGCCGCGCAUAGGGGGGUUGUGGGGUCCCCUGGUGGCCCCUGUCUUGGUUCUCAACUCUCGUGCAUAUGUUUUGUUCCAGAAGAAAUAUUUUCGGAAGUUUCUUCCGUUUGGACACCGUUUAAAAUCCUCCUCUGAAAAGGGUCAAAAAACACGGAAAAAAACAAGAACUGGCACUUGGCACUGAGUUAGUAAGUUAGUCCCAAAAAAGAUAUAAAAGGCAUACAAAACAUCCAAAGUUUGACAAGAUAAUAGCAUGGAACCAUCAAAAAUUAUAGAUACGUUGGAGACGUAUCAGGCGCGAUGUUGGCUUGUGCGCCAUAGGUGGCUCCCCUACGGUGGUUCUUCACUCCAAUAUUGCUUAUUUCCUCGAGAGAGAAAAUAUAAAAAAGUUUCGGGCGAUUAUGAGAACAUUCAUUUUCUGCACAAAAACAACACCAAGGUAAUUCUACUAAAAACAACGCUAGUCCAGGUUAGUUGUAGAUAAAAAUAUAAAGUGCAUCAAAAAAUAUCAAAGUAUUUUAAACAUAGGCAAACAUGGCAUGAAUACUUCAUAAAUUAUUGGUACGUUGGAGACGUAUCACUACUUAUGUCGGAUAAGCUUACACCCAUGUUGGAUAAAUGCAUAUUCGUGGGAUAUCCGAGGGAAACCUUGGGAUACAGCUUCAACAACCGAGAAGAGAACAAGUGUUUGUUGCUCGGAACCUGUUUUUCCUACAAAAAGAGUUUUUCAGUCGGGAAGCUACAGGGAGAAUAGUGCGACUCAAAGAAAUUUGAGAGCCACUCGGGGACGACUCGGCUGGUGAUGAGAUUAUAGCCAAGUCGGUCAGGGAACCCCUAUUGGAGUCGGCAUCGAUGCCGAGAACUUUCAUUUUCUGCACAAAAACAACACCAUGGUAAUUGUGUUGAAAGAGCGUCAGUCCGGGUUAGUUCUAAAUAAAUCAUAUAAAGUGCAUCAAAAUCAUAUGAAACUAUUGUAAACAUAGGCAAACAUGACAUGAAUACUUCAUAAAUUAUUGAUACAUUGAAGAAGUCUCAGCUUCCCCAAGCUUAAUUCCUACUCGUCCUCGAGUAGGUAAAUGAUAAAACAAAUAUUUUAUGAAGUGUGGAUGCUAUCAUAGUAUAUAAGUUUGAUUGACGAUAAUUCAAAUCAAUUUUUCUAGCAUCAUAACCACCAACGUUUUCAUAAAUCAUCAUGGUUGAGUAGGAAUCAAUUCACAUGUCAUGGUUCAAACAAUGCAUUCUCUUGGAACUAAACAUCAUAUGUUCUUAGUCAGCAAACAAUUUCAAUGCAUCAUCAAGUCUAAGUAAGAGCUCCAUAUACUCAAUUAUCAUAUAGUCUUGUAUGUUGCUAAUACUCAAAGCAUAUUUUUAGAACAAAUAGCAUCCAUCGAACAUUGAGAAAGAUAGGGGCUUAAUGUUUUGCCUCCCAAUAUAUUUAUCAUAAACAUAAUUGUCAAUAAUAAUGAAUCAUGAUCAAAUAUAUUUGAGUGGGUAUAUUUUUUGGAUCUUUCCGCACCACAUGGUGCUUACCAACUAAUAGACCGAGGUUGGAAUAAUAAGUAGGCUCAACAUGAAAGUAAGUAACAAGAUAGUAAAUAGAUUGUCCCUUCAUCGAGGGAAGCCGAGAAUUGCAUGGGUGCGAGAGAUCAUUGUUUAAAACAGAGAUAAAUAUAUUUUUAGCGGUGGGCCUUUCGUGUCAAUGUCACAACAGAGUUUACAAUGUCAUCCAUGCUAAUAACAUUAUUGGCGGUUCGCAAACAGAAUUGGAAUUUUACUCCCCCUCUACCAUUCAAACACAUUCCAUGGCUAAUCGUAUCCACGGGUGCCCUCCAAACAUUCAACUUUCUAGGGAGAGUUUUUGUUUAUUUAUUUUUGUAUUAUGCAGGACUCGGAAUCCUUUUUACUAUCCUCUCUCGUGCAAUGACAAGUGAAUCAUGUUGACAAUAACUCGCUUAGCAUGGAAGAUAAUGACCGCCCUGCCGCUCCAUGAGCGGUUCGGGUUCACAAAACAAAUGUUUAUUUGAAUGUUUAGAGGUGGCACAUGCAAAUUUACUUGGAAUGGCACUAAAAUACCAUAUAUAGGUAGGUAUGGUGGACUCGCAUGGAAGAAACUUGGUUUUAGGAUUUGGAUGCAGAAGUAAUAUCUCUACUUAGUAUGAAGUUUUGGCUAGCAAAAGAUUCUAAACAAUCAAUACAUGUUGGAGGAUACAAAACAAUGUAACUUCUAUGCAAAUAUACUCGAACAUAAUCAUUACACUGUCUUCCUUGUCCAACUUCAAAUAUUUUAUAAAGUUUGAAAAUAAUUAAUGGGUAUUCACAAUCAUAAAAUAUGUCCAAGAUAAUAUAUUUGUAUGUGAAAGUUCUCUUUCUUAUACUAGUCAUUCAUGAAUUGCUUGUAUGACCAAUACUAUGAUUGUGAAACUCUAAUGGAUUUUAAUUUCUAACCCAAUAAGAAACUACUACUAGGCAUAAAGCACAUUGAUAAUUUUAGAUUUAUUGUAUUCUAUUCAUUCACAAUUUACUCUUAGGUUAUAAGUGUAGCACAAGAGUAAACAUCAAACUACUCUCAAAAGAUAUAAGUGAAGAACAAUGAGUAGUCAAACAAUUAAGUAGCUAUGUGAGGACUCUCUCUGAAUAAAGAUUUCCAGAUCUGAGUAUUUUAUAAAAACACCAAUGAAAACAAAAAUACACUCCAAUAAUAGCACAUAUCAUGUGGACAAAUAAAAAUUUAGGCUUAGCAUUGGCUAACAGAUACUUAUUGACGAAGCGAUGUGGAAUGCCUAGCACCCCCAACAUUAGAUGCUUGAGACGUCUCAAAAUAUUUACUUGGGUUGCCUUGGGCAUCCUCAAUAUUGAUCUUCCGUAUCUCGUUCAAUCCUCUCAUAUCUCGGGUUCACCUAAGUCUCAAAAACUUCAUCUACACAGAACUUGAAAAGAACUCGUGAGAUAGGUUAGUACACAUAAGAAUAAAGCAACACUUCAUGUAUUGUCAAUACAAGUUGAAUAAUAAUUUUGAAACAUUAGGUAUUGUAUACAGUCAUUUCCACAACUUAUAUCUACCAAUAUAAGCCAUGUAAUCUCUAGGAUAAGUAGAUAACAAAACUAUGACAACAAUCUGUCCUAACAGAACAGUUUGUAACAAUCUAUUAAAACAGUGUACUUGUGUAACUCCAUAAAUUAUGUAACUUCAGUAUAUGAUAAAUAAUAUGCUUGAAAUUACUAACUAUAAAUUUCAAAAACUUUCCAACUUCUAGUAAAAUAUGAUAAUUCAAUUACUACCACAAAAGUUUUUGUUUUUGUACAACACACAUCACACCUGCAAUUCAAGUAUUCUAAAGGCAAUUCUUGAAACUUUUUAUUGAAAAACAAGAUUAUAAAUAACUUCUAACAGAGAACAACAAAAUAAAAUGACUCUCCAAGAAAAACACAUAUCAUGGGAUGAAUAAAAAUAUAGGUCCAAGUAAGAUAAAUGGAUAGUGUUGGAGAUGAAAGAGGGGAUGCCUUUCGGGGCAUCGCUAAGCUUAGACGCUUGAGUCUUCCUUGGGUAUUAGCAUGUGGUUGUCGUGGGAAUCCCCAAUAUUAGUGUCUUUCCACUCCUUAUUCUCCUUAUAUAGAUAUCUUACCGAAAACUUGAAAACUUCAAUCACACAAAACUUAACAGAACUUCAUGAGAUGGGUUUGUGUAAUAAAGAUAGAUCAUUCCUCUAGGUACUGUUAAGAAGAGAUUAAUAAUUGUUAUCACAUAAUAGCUACUGUAGUCUAUCUUUCCCAUCAUUUAUAUCACUCAAUAUAAUCAAUGGAAACACGAAAAUGAACAAACUAUGCAUGCAAAACAAAAUCUAUCAAAAAUAGAACAAUAUCUGAAGAUCUGAAUGAACACCAUACUUCCCUAACUCUAACAAUUCUUAAAAAUUAGGAAAGCACAGAUAAUUUGCAUCGAAAUUUUGCACGAGAAUUUAUGAAUUUUUUUAUGCUCCAAUAAAAUCAGAUAAAUUAUGCACUACACAUAGAAGUUUCUGUUUGUUGCAUAGAAUCAAACAAACAAGUAUCCACACUAUCCCAAAGGCUUUACUUGGCACCUUAUUGAAAUAAAGGACACAAAACAUGAUUACUACAGUAGAUUAAUAAUGUGAACACACAAAAAUAGAAAGUAAAAGUGUUGGGUUGUCUCCCAACAAGCGUUUUCUUUAAUGCCUUUUAGCUAGGCAUGAUGAUUUCAAUGAUGCUUGUAUAAAAGGUAGUAAUUGAAACAUGCAAGAGAGCAUCAUGAAUCACAUGGCUAGCACAUUUAAAUCUAACCCACUUCCUAUGCAUAUGGAUUUUGCAAGCAAAUAUUUUUUUUGUAGCAAGAAUCAACUUGCAUAGGAAGGCAAAACAAGCAGGACUUCAAAACUUUGAACACAUAGGGAGGAAACUUGAUAUUAUUGCAAUUACUACAAGCAUAUGUUCCUCCCUCAUAAUAAUUUUCGGUAGCAUCAUGAAGAAAUUCAGCAAUAUAAAUAUCACAUAAAACAUUAUUUUCACGAUGCACACGCAUAUAAUUUUUAUUACUACCCACACAAGCAAAAGUCUUAUCAUUCAUAGUAGUGGGAGCAAACUCAACAAAAUAACUAUCAUGAGAUACUUGAUUGAUAUAAUCCAUGUAAAAACUAAAAUCAUGAUGACAAGUUUCAGGGUUAUCCUUAUUAUUUAUAGUGUAAAUGUCAUCACAAUAAUCAUCAUAGAUAGGAGGAAUGAUAUCAUCAUAUUAAAUUUGCUCAACAAAACUUGGGGAACUGAAAAUAGCAUCUUCAUCAAACAUAGCAUCCCCAAGCUUGUGGCUUUGCAUAUCAUUAGCAUCAUGGAUAUUCAGAGAAUUCAUACCAACCAUAUUUCUAUCUGUUGGAAAUAUGCCCUAGAGGCAAUAAUAAAAUGGUUAUUAUCUUAUUACCUUGUUCAUGAUAAUCGUCUAUUGUUCAUGCUAUAAUUGUAUUAACAGGAAACAGUAAUACAUGUGUGGAUAAAUAGAUCACAAUGUGUCCCUAGCAAGCCUCUAGUUGGCUAGCUCGUUAGUCAAUAGAUGAUCAUGGUUUCCUGAUCAUGGACAUUGGAUGUCAUUGAUAACGGGAUCACAUCAUUGGGAGAAUGAUGUGAUGGACAAGACCCAAUCCUAAGCCUAGCACUAGAUCGUAUUGUUCGUAUGCUAAAGCUUUUCUAAUGUCAAGUAUCUUUUCCUUCGACUGUGAGAUUGUGCAACUCCCGGAUACCGUAGGAGUUCUUUGGGUGUAUCAGACGUCACAACGUAACUGGAUGACUAUAAAGGUGCACUACGGGUACCUCCGAAAGUGUCUGUUGGGUUGGUACGAAUCGAGAUCGGGAUUUGUCACUCCGUGUGACGGAGAGGUAUCUCUGGGCCCACUCGGUAGAACAUCAUCAUGAGGUCAAUGUGACUAAGGAGUUAGUCACACGAUGACGUGCUACGGAACGAGUAAAGAGACUUAUCGGUAACGAGAUUGAACAAGGUAUAGGUAUACCGACGAUCGAAUCUCGGGCAAGUUCAAUACCGACAAACAAAGGGAAUCGUAUACGGGAUUGAUUGAAUCCUUGACAUCGUGGUUCAUCCGAUGAGAUCAUCGUGGAGCAAGUGGGAGCCACCAUGGGUAUCCAGACCCCGCUGAUGGUUAUUGGCCAGAGAGGUGUCUCGGUCAUGUCUGCCUAUCUCCCGAACCCGUAGGGUCUACACACUUAAGGUUCGAUGACGCUAGGGUUAUAGGGAAUUGUUAUACGAGGUUACCGAAAGUUGUUCGGAGUCCCGGAUGAGAUCCCGGACAUCACGAGGAGCUCCGGAAUGGUCCGGAGGUAAAUAUUGAUAUAUAGGACGGAUGGUUUCGGACACCGGAAGUGUUUCGGGCGUCACCGGUAACGUACCGGGACCACCGGGGGUGGCCCCGGGGGACCACCGAAAGGGGGCAACGACCCCGGGAGGUAAGGUGGGCCAAGUGGGGAUGGGAACCAGCCCCUAGGUGGGCUGGUGCGCCUCCCCACUCAGCCCAAUGCUCAGGGGAGAGAAAAGGGGGAGGGAACCCUAAGCCAGGUGGGCCUAAGGCCCACCAGAUGGUGCGCCACCCCCUCCUCCCCCCUCUGGCCGCCGCACCUCCCAUCUGGGGGGGCUGCCGCACCCCCUAGGGUGGGAACCCUAGGGGUGGCACCCCCUCUCCCCUCCCCCUAUAUAUAUCGGGCACUUUUGGCCAUUGAGAGAUAGACUUUUCCUUCUCCCUCGGCGCAGCCCUGCUCUUCUUUCUCCUCCUCUCUGCCGGUGCUUGGCGAAGCCCUGCCGGGAGACCUCGUCUCUCCAUCGACACCACGCCGUCGUGCUGCUGGAGUUUUUCCCCAACCUCUCCCUCCUCCUUGCUGGAUCAAGGUGCGGGAGACAUCACCGGGUUGCACGUGUGUUGAACGCGGAGGUGCCGUAGUUCGGCACUAGAUCGGAAUCGCUGCGAGUAUGACUCCAUCAACUACGUUCUAGCAACGCUUCCGCUUAGCGAUCUUCAAAGGUAUGAAGAUGCUCUUACCCCUCUCUCGUUGCUGGUCUCUCCGUAGUAAGAUCUGAAUAUGCGUAGGAAAAUUUUGAAUUUAUGCUACGUUACCCAACACUAUCAUGUUCAUCAUUCGAGCAUUUCACGUUAAACAUUUUCAUAAAUUCUUCCUUUAGCAAAUUGAGCACAAUUUUUUGAACCAUCAUUUUCACAAAAGACAUUAUAGAUACAAAGCAAAUGAGGGAACCUAAAUUACAUUUUUUGUAGUUUUGUUUUAUAAAACCAAACUAGUGGAAGACAAGAAACUUAAAUAUUUAAUUGCAAGAUCUACAAAUAUACCUUCAAGCACUCACCUCCACGCCAACGGCGCUAGAAAAGAUCUUGAUGUCUACUACACAAAUUUAUUCUUGUAGACUAUGUUGGAACUCCAAGCACAGAGUUUUGUAGGAUAGUAGAAUUUUCCCUCAAGUGGAUGACCUAAGGUGUAUCAAUCUAUGGGAGGUGUAGGAUGAAGAUGGUCUCUCUCAAACAACCCUACAAUCAAAUACAAAAAAACUCUUGUGUCCCCAACACACACAAUACAAUUGCAAAUUGUAUAGGCGCACUAGUUCGGCGAAGAGAUGGUGAUACCAGUGUAGUGUGGAUAGUAGAUAAAUGUUUUUGUAAUCUGAAAAAUAUAAAAACAACAAGAUAGAAAGUGUAAAAUCGCGAGUAAAAUUUUGUAUAAAUGCUUGGUAAUAAGGCCUAGGGUUCAUACAUUCACUAGUGCAAUCUCAACAAUGCAAACAUAGUCGAAUCAUAUGAUCAUCCCUAAGUGUGGGACAAAGAAUCACUCCAAAGUUCCUAUCUAGAAGAGAACAAUAAGAUGAAAUUGGUGUAGGUAGUAGAACCACCUCAAAGUUAUUCUUUUUUAUCAAUCUUUUGACCUAUUCCUGUAAGUGUCACAAACAACAAUAGAGUUCGUACUAGAAUAACACCCAUGAUACAUAUUUAUCAACCCUAAUGUCACGUAGAUACACCAAUGUCACCUCAAGUGUUUGUGGGUAGAUUAUGUGAUAUGCAUGAAAUAAUUUCAGAUCUAUCAAAUUCAAUCCAACAGAGAGAACUUGAAGGAGCUACCCAAGAUUUUUCUCGGCGAACAAGUAUGAAAACGUGUAAUCAACCCCUGUGCAUAGAUCCCCAAGGUCAUUAGAAUCUGCAAGUUGAUUACAUAACAUAUAUCAAGUGAGUCACUUGAAUACCCCAAUGUCACUAUGAGUAUCCGCAUGCAAGACAUACAUCAAGUGUUCUCAAACCAAAAUAUUCAAUCCAACAUAACAAUAUCUUAAAGGGAAAGAUUGAAUUCAUCACAACAAGGUAGCAAGGGAAUAACAUCAUAUGAUCCAACUAGAGGCCUAUGAUACAUCAAGAUUGUGCCAUCUCAAGAACACGAGAUAGAGAGAUUGAACACAUAGCUAUUGUUACGUACCCUCAUCCCCGAGGGUGAACUACUCCCUUCUCGUCAUGGCCUCCGUUGGGAUGAUGAAAAUGGCCACCGGAGAUGAUUUCCCCUCUCCGGCAGGGUACUAGAAAGGCUCCAUAUGGGUUUUUAUUCAAUAUAGAGAGUUGCAGCGACGGAGUGGAAGUUCUCUCUUUAUUUCUGGGGUUUCUAGUGUAUAUAGGAUUUUUUUAGCAUGGGAAUCAUGCCAAUGUCACAUCCCUGAUCCCUAUUAGGGUUUAGAAAGUUGUGCUCAUGUCUUCCUUCUUUGCAUCCAAGAAAAUGAAAUGAAAUCCAAAAGAAAAGCAAAGAAAACCAAAGCAAAACCCUAGCCACCCCUUAUUCCAAAACAAUUCAACUAUUGCCAAAAUCAAUGAAUCCAAAAUGGCCAUUAGAAAAGUUCAUCUUUUCUGAUAAAUGUUGAAAACAAAAUAUCAGUGGUAAAAUAUAUUUUCAAAGUGCUUUUGGCAUUUUAAAUUAAAGGUAAAAGCUACUGAANNNNNNNNNNUUAUUUCGAAGUUUUCAAAAAUGUUGAAACUUUUAUAAAUGUUUGGAAAUAUUUCAAAUGACAUUUCAGCAUGUUUCAAACUAUUUUAGGAAUAGUUUGGAGCCAAAAAUAAAACAAAACAAAGUCAGUAAAUAAAUAACAGAAACAGAAAUGGAAAAAAAUGGAAAGAAACCUUACAUGUCGUUCACCCCUCGCCCAGCCCAGCUAGCCUUGUCGUCGUCCUCGUGCGAGCGAGCAGCAGAAGGUGGCCGCUGCUCCCUCCGGCGCAGCCACGCACGUGUCUGCUUGCCUGGCCGCCGCUUCGUGUUGGCAAGGAGGGGAUAAGCCUCCCGCAGCCGUCCCCGAGCUCCUCCUCGCCUCACUCCUCCCCCAGCGAUCUCCUCUCUCGGCCGCCAUUACAGCCCGAGCUGAGCUCGAGCUCACCGUUGCUCCAGCCCCUCUCCCUCUCACCUGAGCUGCGCAUUAGCUUCGCCUUGGUCCCGUGAAGCUCUCCAACUAGUCGCUCGAUGCCGAGAACCCCUGAGAUGCCGUGACGCCAUCGUCUUCAACCUCGGAUCCUCGGAGCUCGCCGCCGUCGUUCUCCCUCCUCAGACCAUCCCCGAGCCCGCUCUCGUCGCCUCUGCACUCCCUGUGAGCUCAGGGUGCUUUCCCCUUCAUUUCCCCCUUCGAUCCCGAGCUCUAGGCCCCGAUUCCACCGGAGCCCGAGAUCCGCCGCGGGACCUCGUCGCCGGUAGCUCUCCGGUGAUCGGCUGGUCGUUCUGAGGCCACCAAUGGCUUCAGUGCGUCGUGUAGGGGCUUUAGGAGACUAGCCCCGCGCGUGUUGAGCCCCGUAGGAGUGUCCCCGAUGAUGCCCGAGCUCCGGCAGCCGCCGAGCUCGUCGCCGGCGUCAUCUCCGGCCAUUUCAGCCCGUGCUCUUUGCAAAAAUGGAGUUGUGAUCGUGUGGCCGAUCGUCUGGUGCCCUCCGUCGUACUUUUGGUCACCGGAAUCGCAAACCCGAGGCCCUCCGCCGUUCUGGUGGUCGCCGGAGCCUUGCCGCUGAUGGGUUUGACCCCAUCGCCGAUGGGGUUGACUCCCCUGAGUCCCUGGCAAGUGGGGCCAGCCACCUGUUUAAUUAAAGAUUAGUUAAAAUAAAAAUAUAAAUUAUAUUAAAAGUCAAAUAGUCAGUGACAGGUGGGUCCAGCCUGUUAAUUAGCUAAUUAAGUUAAACUUAAACUAAAAACUGGCCACAGUCACUGACCAGUGGGUCCCACUAGUCAGGUUUGACUUUCAACGGCCAGUUGGACCUGCCGAUGCAAUAACUCAUUUUCUGUUUAAAAAUAAUUCCAGAAUAAGUUCANNNNNNNNNNNNNNNNNNNNNNNNNNNNNNNNNNNNNNNNNNNNNNNNNNNNNNNNNNNNNNNNNNNNNNNNNNNNNNNNNNNNNNNNNNNNNNNNNNNNGCCUGAUACUGCUUUGCCUGAUGAUGCUAGAGAUGCUAUUUUGCCUGAUGAUGCUAUGCUUGAUACUGCUAGAGAUGCUAUGCCUGAUACUGCUAGAGAUGCUACGCCUGAUACUGCUUUGCCUGAUGAUGCUAGAGAUGCUAUUUUGCCUGAUGAUGCUAUGCUUGAUACUGCUAGAGAUACUACUUUGCCUGAUGUGCCACUAGGGGUAUUCCUUGAUGCUCAUAUUGCUAGAGUUACUGCCAAUGCUCGUGAUGCUUCUGAAACUGCCGAUACUAUUGAGAUAGAACCUGCUUUUGCUCCUGCUAGAUCUAGCUCUCCUAGAUAUGAAUUGCCUGAUAUACCUGAGGGUUAUGUUAUGGAGGGAGAGAUAGCUGAGGAUUUUCUUGCGUGUAAGGAUGCCUAUGACACUGAGAAAUUACUUCUCAAGUGGAAGGAAAAAUCUCUAAAAGCUAGGAUGAAAUACGACCCGAAGUUUGCCACUUCACCUAUCUUUAGCACCGAUAAGGAUUAUGAAUUCUGUGUCGAUCCUGAGAUAAUCUCUCUAGUCGAAUCUGAUCCUUUCCACGGUUAUGAGUCUGAGACGAUCGUAGCCCAUCUUACCAAACUACACGAUAUAGCUACCCUUUUCACUAGUGAGGAGAAGAUCCGCUAAUAUUAUAUUCUUAAGCUGUUUCCUUUCUCUCUAAAGGAUGACGCUAAAGCCUGGUUCACUUCUCUUGCUCCUGGAUGUGUGAGUAGUCCCCAACAUAUGGUCUAUUACUUCUGUGAGAAAUAUUUCCCUGCCCAUAAGAAGCAAGCUGCCUUGCAGGAAAUAUACAACUUUGCUCAACUCGAAGAAGAGAGUCUUCCACAAGCUUGGGGGAGGCUCAUCCAGCUAUAGAAUGCUUUGCCUGAUCACCCUCUUAAGAAGAACGAGAUACUUGAUAUCUUCUAUAACGGACUUACCGAUGCUUCUAGAGACCACCUAGAUAGUUGCGCCGGUUGUGUUUUUAGGGAACAAACUGUAGAUAAAGCUGAGACCCUAUUGAAUAAUAUCUUGAUCAACGAUAAUGCUUGGACUACUCCUGAACCACCUCCUGAGCCAACUCUGAAGAAAAGAGGUAUUCUAUUCCUCAGUCCCGAAGAUAUGCAAGAAGCCAAGAAAUCUAUGCAACAGAAAGGCAUUAGAGCCGAAGAUGUCAAAAAUCUACCACCUAUUGAAGAGAUCCAUGGUCUCGAUAACCCGAUACAGGUAGUAGAAGUAAAUUCUCUGCGUAGGUUUGAUGAGAGUGAUAUUCCUUUUGAUAAACCUGCUAGCCUAUGCUUUGAUGAAUUUGACAACUUUGUUGCCAAACAACAGAGUUUCAAUGAUUAUGUUAGAAGACAUUUGGAACAAAGUACUCAUAUGCUUAGUCAAUUAAGUGCUUGUGUAGACAAAAAUGUCAAUGAUCUGAAGCUUCUGUGUAAACAUGCCUCUAUUAUUACUACUCAGGUAGAACAAGUACUUAAAGAUCAGAAUGACCUGCUCAAUGAAUUAAAUGACAACUCUGUCAGAGUCAUUAUUAGAGGAGGCAAAAUGACUCAGGAACCUUUGUAUCCUGAAGGUCAUCCUAAGAUAAUUGAUCAAGAUUAUCAAGGAAUUAAUGCUGGUACACCCAGUCAUCCUAAGGAGAAGAAGAAGGAUGAUAGAAACCCACAUGUUAGUUCACCAAAUACUGUCACACCUGAAGAACCAAAUGAUAUUUCUGCGUCUAAUGUAGAAACACAAUCUGGUGAUGAACAUGAACCUGGUGACAAUAUGGACAGCGAUUUUCAUAAUGAUGCUCAACCUAGCAAUGAUAAGGAUGUGGAGAUUGAACCUACAGUUAAACCUGAUAACCCACAACCUCAGAGAUACGAUAAGAAUGACUUCACUGCUAGGAAGAAUGGUAGAGAAAGGGAUCCAUGGGUUCAGAGACCUAUGCCCUUUCCUCCUAAGCCAUCCAAGAAAAAGGAUGAUGAGGAUUUUGAGUGCUUUAUUGAAAUGUUGGGACCCGUCUUUCUGCAGAUGCGGUUAGUUGAUAUGCUCAAAAUGUCUCCAUAUGCCAAGUACAUGAAAGAUAUCGUGACCAAUAAACGGAAGAUACCAGAUCUUGAGAUCUCCACCAUGCUUGCCAAUUACACUUUCAAAGGUGGAACUCCUAAGAAACUUGGUGAUCCUGGAGUGCCCACUAUACCUUCCUCCAUUAAAGGAAACUACGUAAGAACUGCCUUAUGUGACCUUGGAGCCGGAGUUAGUGUUAUGCCUCUCUCUCUUUAUCAUAGACUUGAACUGGAUAAGUUGACACCCACUGAAAUUUCUCUGCAAAUGGGUGACAAAUCAACUGCUUUCCCUGUCGGCAUUUGCGAGGAUGUGCCUGUUGUGGUUGCUAAUACCACUAUCUUAACAGACUUUGUUAUCUUGGAUAUUCCUAAGGAUGAUGCCAUGGCUGUUAUCCUUGGAAGACCCUUUUUAAACACUGCAGGGGCUGUUAUAGAUUGCAACAAAGGCAAUGUCACUUUCCAUGUCAAGGGUAAUGAGCAUACUGUGCACUUUCCGAAGAAACAAUAUCAAGUACAUUGCAUCAAUGCUGUCGAAAAAACUUCAUCGAUUCUUAUUGGGAGGUUUGAAUGCCCUAUUCCUCGUGUCAAGAUGAAGUAUGAUUUGCUUGUUGGGGAGAUUCACAUCCCCAUUGAGGUGACUUAGUGGCUAUUCGAAAAUUCUCCGUUCUCUUUUGCGAUUCGAGAAAGUUUUGUCAUGAGGAUUUGAUCAACCCCAUUAACGGAUUUCUUUCGAUGACCAUGAAAUGGAUGAAUCAAAGAGUCACAUACCUCUGUUUUAAGCCUUCACUUUCUGUUGCUUAGAAGAAAAAUGAUAGAUUUAGUUUAGUUUUCGUUGUUUCCUGUAUUAGCGUCCGGUAGAAAAAUACCCCGAAAAUAAAAGUUCUCCGAUGGUCCUGAAAAUCUAGUAUGAUUUUUUCUGAAAUAUUUGAAAAAUACUGGGACUGAGAGCUGGCCUGGGGGCACACCUGUCACCGCGGCCACCCCCCUGGCCGCGGUAAGCAAGCUUGUGGGGGCCACAGGGACCCCCUCCACUCCUUCGAGCUCCCAUCCUCUUCCUCUACCUCCAGAAAAAAUCAUUUCGCAGCUCAAACCCGUGUUCUUGCUCAUUUGGCUGUGAUUUUUGAUCUCCUUGCUCAAAGCACCAUUCUCCGAACCGUUUUGGGGAAAUUACACCUUGGUAAGUGACUCCUCCAUUGGUCCAAUUAGUUUUUGCUCUAGUGCUUUAUCCUUCGCGUAUUCUUGCUACCUUGGUGACCCUGUUCUUGAGCUUGAAAUGUUGAUUUUAGCUAGUCCCAAGUAGUUUUAAUGCGUGAUAUGGUCUCUAGGCACUAGUAGGAGUAGUUGCUACGAGUUGGGUUAAUCUUUAUUCACUUUUCUUCCGAAGUCUCUAAAAAUUUCAGAAUUUUUCAGAGCGAGAAAAGGAAAAAGAUGAGGAGGUUCUUGAGAGGCUCUUCAAGCCGUAACCCCAAGGAGGUUGAGAAGAACCACCCCAAGUACGUGGUUCGUCGAGUCACAGAAGUUCGAGCGUGCGAGUGACCAAGUGAUGAAUUUUUGCGCGCCGCCGAGCUUUAUGAAGAUUUUUAUUACUUGGUGGAGAACGCAGGUAUUACCGCGUUCGUUGAAGAUAAGUGCUCACAAUACCUCCUCCUCACCAAUAUUUUCGUUCAAAGCUUGAACUUUUAUCCGAGGAAGAAUCCUCCCAUGGUUGAGUUCAUGUUGUACGAUAUCCCCCAGUGCAUGACACUACAGGAUUUUUUGCAAAUUACCUUAUGUUGGGGAUAUUCAUGAUCCUCGUCCACGGGACUUGGAGGAUUUCAUAGGUACUAUUGCCGUUGGAGAGGAGAGAGGAGUGUCUCACGCUAGAAUUUCUAGCAUACAUUUUCCUGUACUUCGGUACUUCUCAUUAUUUGUGGGAAAAUGUUUGAUUGGCCGUGGGGAGGCUGGAUCACUUAGCUCUCCAGACCUUGCGGUUUUGCGCGAAGGCCUUUAUAGCAAUAAGACUUAUAGCCUAGGUGCUAUAGUAUCUCUGCGGUUGAACACAAACCAUUCCAAAGGUGUCGUCUAUGGAGGUAUCUACGCUACUUGUCUUGCUAGACACUUUGAGAUACCUAUUAGACUUCGCGAGGAAGAAUAGAUGCUUCUUCUUGAGAAAUAUCUGGAUUAUGACAGCAUGGUUCGACAUGAUUUUCUGGAUAGACAUGCUAGUAGACGGAUGAUUUAUAAUCUGGUAUUUAGUCAGGGUACUCGAGAGACUAUUACUUUGCCUGCUCCUUCUUUGUUCGAUCUUCAUGCAUGCAGGUACACUAUUAUGCCCUCGGACAUCUAUGCAUAUUGGGGCUUAGCCCAACCAUAGGUGUCCGUGCCCGAGCCGCCAGUCGAGUACCAGACGCCAGUUUAUCAGUGGGAGCCAGAGGAGCUCACACAACAGUGGCAUCCACAGUCCGCUCCGGAGUAUCCCGGAGCUGGUUAUUUCCCAGAUUGGGAGUAGACCAAGCUAGGCCAAAAGCCUAAGCUUGGGGGAGUACGUGUUCUCACCGACCUUGCAUUCAUGCUUAUGCUUUCACUUUGUUCGUCGGUGUUCACACUUUGCCACUGUAUCAUCCAUGCUAGUUUGUUUUCGUUUUCUUAUUUUCUUGUUUUGUGUCCUUCUGAUAAAACCCAAAAAGAUUUUCCUUUCUUCUUUUGCUUGUUGGGAGCUUUCCCAUGUAAAUAGUUUUCCUUUUCUUUGGGUCAAGGUAGAAGAUAUUGGUUAUAAUUGUUUAGUGGCUCUCGCAUGCAUACAUGUUUAGCUUUCAAAGAUCCAUAUUACUUUGUCUUCUCCUUUGUGUUUGCCUGCAGAUUUCAGCUUUGUCCAAUGCACGAGCACUCUUAUUAUUGUUCACAUCGUUCGAUCGUGCAAGUGAAAGGCAAUAAUGAUGAUAUAUGAUGAGUGACUGAGAAUGGAAAAGUUGGUAUGGACUCUAUCUAAUUUUUUUUGUAAAUAUGACUAGCUUGUCGUCCCAGAUUUAGCUUUGUUGUGAGAGAACCAUGUUUGCAAUGACAACUUAGAGAUCAUAGUUUCUGAUGCCAUGCUUAUUUAGCUAGGAGCUUAUAAUGGUUUGUCUUGAAUGCCAACAUAGAUUUUGAGAUGACUAUGAUGUAGUAUGAUAGGAUGGUAUUCUCCUUUGAAUGAUUCAAGUGGCUUGACUUGGCGCAUGUUCAUGCAUGUAGUUGAAACAAAAUCAACAUAGCCUCUAUGAUGUUCAUAUUCAUGGUGAUUUAUAUCCUGUUCAUGCUUGCACUCCAUGUUAGUCAAACUCAUUGCAUCUUGAUGACCAUUGUCGCUCUCUAGUUGGUCGCUUCCCAGUCUUUUGCUAGCCUUCACUUGUACUAAGAGGAAUACUGCUUGUGCAUUCAACUCCAUAAACCCAAAAGUUUUUCCAUGAGAGUCCACCAUACCUACCUAUUUACGGUAUCUACCUGCCAUUCCAAGUAAAUUUGCAUG